GCCGGAGUGGCGAAAUCGGUAGACGCAGUGGAUUCAAAAUCCACCGCCCUCAUACGGCGUGCCGGUUCGAGUCCGGCCUCCGGCACCA
Molecule: transfer RNA, 88 nt
Filed under: Burkholderiaceae bacterium
Lineage: Bacteria; Pseudomonadati; Pseudomonadota; Betaproteobacteria; Burkholderiales; Burkholderiaceae
Also listed under: 2 other names
Description: tRNA-Leu
Rfam family: tRNA
About the family: Transfer RNA (tRNA) molecules are approximately 80 nucleotides in length.
Source: RNAcentral